AUUCCAGCUCCAAUAGCGUAUAUUUUAGUUGUUGCAGUUAAAAAGCUCGUAGUUGAAUUUCUGGUGGGAAGAUGCGGACGGCCUCAUGGCUUGUUCCAAGUCUUCCGGCCAUCCUUGGGUGGAGCUCGUCUGGCAUUAAGUUGUCGGGCGGGGGAUGCCCAUCGUUUACUGUGAAAAAAUUAAAGUGUUCAAAGCAGACUUAUGUCGUUGAAUAUAUUAGCAUGGAAUAAUAAGAUAGGACAGCAGUGCUAUUUUGUUGGUUUGCGCACCGUUGUAAUGAUGAAUAGGGACAGUUGUGGGUAUUUAUAUUCACUUGUAAGAGGUGAAAUUCUUAGAUUAAGGGAAGAUAAACUACUGCGAAAGCAUUUACCAAGGACGUUUUCAUUA
Molecule: ribosomal RNA, 387 nt
Filed under: Chaetoceros sp.
Lineage: Eukaryota; Bacillariophyta; Thalassiosirophyceae; Chaetocerotales; Chaetocerotaceae
Description: partial small subunit ribosomal RNA
Rfam family: Eukaryotic small subunit ribosomal RNA
Source: RNAcentral